GAUGAACGCUGGCGGCGUGCCUAAUACAUGCAAGUCGAGCGAACAGAUGAGGAGCUUGCUCCUCUGACGUUAGCGGCGGACGGGUGAGUAACACGUGGAUAACCUACCUAUAAGACUGGGAUAACUUCGGGAAACCGGAGCUAAUACCGGAUAAUAUAUUGAACCGCAUGGUUCAAUAGUGAAAGACGGUUUUGCUGUCACUUAUAGAUGGAUCCGCGCCGCAUUAGCUAGUUGGUAAGGUAACGGCUUACCAAGGCAACGAUGCGUAGCCGACCUGAGAGGGUGAUCGGCCACACUGGAACUGAGACACGGUCCAGACUCCUACGGGAGGCAGCAGUAGGGAACCUUCCGCAAUGGGCGAAAGCCUGACGGAGCAACGCCGCGUGAGUGAUGAAGGUCUUCGGAUCGUAAAACUCUGUUAUUGGGGAAGAACAAAUGUGUAAGUAACUAUGCACGUCUUGACGGUACCUAAUCAGAAAGCCACGGCUAACUACGUG
Molecule: ribosomal RNA, 497 nt
Filed under: uncultured bacterium
Lineage: Bacteria
Description: partial 16S ribosomal RNA
Rfam family: Bacterial small subunit ribosomal RNA
Source: RNAcentral